GAAACUUCGCUUCAGCGCAAAGGCUUGUGGGAGGUUGGAUGACGUCACGAACAUGGCGGUCAUUUCAAGCGACGACAUUUUCAGCUAGGUCGGAGCGGGAUUUCAGUCUAUUUUACAGGGAAAAGACUACAGGAUGCAGGACGACUUCAUUGACUCCUUCUUCUUUGGACAUAGUGAUGCAGAAAAUAACAGGAAGAAUGCAGAAUCACAAUACAGCUGCAGUAUCCCCCCACCCCCUUCAUCCAUGGAUGAGUUUCCCUCCACACAACUGCUUCAAGCAUCUCAGGGACCACUGUCUCAAUUUGAAGACAGACAGCAAGG
This is a long non-coding RNA of Branchiostoma floridae (Florida lancelet), 321 nucleotides long. RefSeq lists it as uncharacterized. The transcript is spliced from 3 exons. NCBI's taxonomy places the organism in Eukaryota, Metazoa, Chordata, Leptocardii, Amphioxiformes, Branchiostomatidae. The record is from RefSeq and is a predicted model, not a curated record.